Molecule: ribosomal RNA, 120 nt
Filed under: Petromyzon marinus (sea lamprey)
Lineage: Eukaryota; Metazoa; Chordata; Hyperoartia; Petromyzontiformes; Petromyzontidae
Source: RNAcentral
UUAAAUCACCAAAUCACGCGGAAUGCACCCGAUCUCAUCAAGAGCCGAAAGCUAAGCAGGGUUGAGCCUGGAUAAUGCUUGGAUGGGCGACCACCGAGCAUGACACCGGUGUCAUAGGCU